Molecule: ribosomal RNA, 562 nt
Filed under: uncultured bacterium
Lineage: Bacteria
Description: bacterial SSU rRNA
Rfam family: Bacterial small subunit ribosomal RNA
Source: RNAcentral
CCUACGGGAGGCAGCAGUGAGGAAUAUUGGACAAUGGGGGCAACCCUGAUCCAGCAAUUCUGUGUGCACGAAGAAGGUUUUCGGAUUGUAAAGUGCUUUCAGCAGGGAAGAAGAAAGUGACGGUACCUGCAGAAGAAGCGACGGCUAAAUACGUGCCAGCAGCCGCGGUAAUACGUAUGUCGCAAGCGUUAUCCGGAAUUAUUGGGCAUAAAGGGCAUCUAGGCGGCCAGACAAGUCUGGGGUGAAAACUUGCGGCUCAACCGCAAGCCUGCCCUGGAAACUGUUUGGCUAGAGUGCUGGAGAGGUGGACGGAACUGCACGAGUAGAGGUGAAAUUCGUAGAUAUGUGCAGGAAUGCCAAUGAUGAAGAUAGUUCACUGGACGGCAACUGACGCUGAAGUGCGAAAGCUAGGGGAGCGAACAGGAUUAGAUACCCUGGUAGCCCUAGCUGUAAACGAUGAUUACUGGGUGUGGGCAUGAAGAGUGUCCGUGCCGAAGCAAAUGCGAUAAGUAAUCCGCCUGGGGAGUACGGCCGCAAGGCUGAAACUCAAAGGAAUUGACGG